ACUCCUACGGGAGGCAGCAGUGGGGAAUAUUGCACAAUGGGCGCAAGCCUGAUGCAGCCAUGCCGCGUGUAUGAAGAAGGCCUUCGGGUUGUAAAGUACUUUCAGCAGUGAGGAAGGCAGGUACGUUAAUAGCGUGCUUGUUUGACGUUAGCUGCAGAAGAAGCACCGGCUAACUCCGUGCCAGCAGCCGCGGUAAUACGGAGGGUGCGAGCGUUAAUCGGAAUUACUGGGCGUAAAGCGCAUGCAGGUGGUUUGUUAAGUCAGAUGUGAAAGCCGGGGCUCAACCUCGGAACUGCAUUUGAAACUGGCAGACUAGAGUACUGUAGAGGGGGGUAGAAUUUCAGGUGUAGCGGUGAAAUGCGUAGAGAUCUGAAGGAAUACCGGUGGCGAAGGCGGCCCCCUGGACAGAUACUGACACUCAGAUGCGAAAGCGUGGGGAGCAAACAGGAUUAGAUACCCUGUAGCACAGGC
This 471-nucleotide ribosomal RNA is filed under the name uncultured bacterium. Its description in RNAcentral is "bacterial SSU rRNA". It matches the Rfam family "Bacterial small subunit ribosomal RNA", at positions 335 to 800 of the family's 1533-position model. The record is from RNAcentral.